GAUGAACGCUGGCGGCGUGCCUAAUACAUGCAAGUCGAGCGAACAGAUAAGGAGUUCGCUCCUUUGACGUUAGCGGCGGACGGGUGAGUAACACGUGGGUAACCUACCUAUAAGACUGGGAUAACUUCGGGAAACCGGAGCUAAUACCGGAUAACAUUGGGAACCGCAGGGUUCUAAAGUGAAAGAUGGUUUUGCUAUCACUAAUAGAUGGACCCGCGCCGUAUUAGCUAGUUGGUAAGGUAACGGCUUACCAAGGCGACGAUACGUAGCCGACCUGAGAGGAGGAUCAGCCACACUGGAACUGAGACACGGUCCAGACUCCUACGGGAGGCAGCAGUGGGGAAUAUUCCGCAAUGGGCGAAAGCCUGACGCAGCAACGCCGCGUGAGUGAUGAAGGGUUUCGGAUCGUAAAACUCUGUUAUUAGGGAGGAACAAAUGUGUGAGUAACUCUGGACGUCUUGACGGUACCUAAUCAAAAAGCCCCGGCUAACUUCGUG
Molecule: ribosomal RNA, 497 nt
Filed under: uncultured bacterium
Lineage: Bacteria
Description: partial 16S ribosomal RNA
Rfam family: Bacterial small subunit ribosomal RNA
Source: RNAcentral